UACGUAGGUCCCGAGCGUUGCCCGGAUUUAUUGGGCGUAAAGCGAGCGCAGGUGGUUUAAUAAGUCUGAUGUAAAAGGCAGUGGCUCAACCAUUGUGUGCAUUGGAAACUGUUAGACUUGAGUGCAGUAGAGGAGAGUGGAAUUCCAUGUGUAGCGGUGAAAUGCGUAGAUAUCGGGAGGAACACCAGUAGCGAAGGCGGCCAUCUGGCUGGUAACUGACGCUGAGGUGCGAGAGCGUGGGGAGCAAACAGG
This 252-nucleotide ribosomal RNA is filed under the name uncultured microorganism. Its description in RNAcentral is "partial 16S ribosomal RNA". It matches the Rfam family "Bacterial small subunit ribosomal RNA", at positions 524 to 776 of the family's 1533-position model. The record is from RNAcentral.